Molecule: ribosomal RNA, 378 nt
Filed under: uncultured eukaryote
Lineage: Eukaryota
Description: partial 18S ribosomal RNA
Rfam family: Eukaryotic small subunit ribosomal RNA
Source: RNAcentral
CAAUAGCGUAUAUUAAAGUUGUUGCAGUUAAAAAGCUCGUAGUUGGAUUUUGGAUUGAGUCGAACGGUCUGCCUUAUUGGUAUGAACUGUUUGGUUCUUUCUUCUUCUCGAAGACCAUGUGUGCUCUUAACUGAGUGUGCAUGGGGUUCGGGACUUUUACUGUGAGAAAAUUAGAGUGUUCAAAGCAGGCAUUUGCUUGAAUAUUGCAGCAUGGAAUAAUGGAAUAGGAUCACGAUCUUAUUUUGUUGGUUUCUAGGAUCGAGAUAAUGAUUAAUAGGGGUAGUUGGGGGCAUUAAUAUUUAAUUGUCAGAGGUGAAAUUCUUGGAUUUAUGAAAGAUUAACUUCUGCGAAAGCAUUUGCCAAGGAUGUUUUCGUUAA